CCUACGGGAGGCAGCAGUGGGGAAUAUUGGGCAAUGGGGGCAACCCUGACCCAGCAACGCCGCGUGAAUGAAGAAGGCUUUCGGGUUGUAAAGUUCUGUUAUCAGGGACGAAGCCAGUGACGGUACCUCAAUAAUAAGCCACGGCUAACUACGUGCCAGCAGCCGCGGUAAUACGUAGGUGGCAAGCGUUAUCCGGAAUUACUGGGUGUAAAGGGCGUGUAGGCGGGUGAGCAAGUCAGAUGUGAAAAUCAGGGGCUCAACCUGGGGGCUGCAGUUGAAACUAUUUGACUAGAGUGCAGGAGAGGUAAGUGGAAUUCCUAGUGUAGCGGUGGAAUGCGUAGAUAUUAGGAGGAACACCAGUGGCGAAGGCGGCUUACUGGACUGUAACUGACGCUGAGGCGCGAAAGCGUGGGGAGCAAACAGGAUUAGAUACCCCUGUAGUC
RNAcentral lists this ribosomal RNA (443 nucleotides) under uncultured bacterium. RNAcentral's name for it is "partial 16S ribosomal RNA". It matches the Rfam family "Bacterial small subunit ribosomal RNA", at positions 338 to 795 of the family's 1533-position model. The record is from RNAcentral.